UACGUAGGUCACAAGCGUUGUCCGGAUUUAUUGGGCGUAAAGGGAGCGCAGGUGGUCUGUUAAGUCUGAUGUGAAAGCCUACGGCUCAACCGUAGAACUGCAUUGGAAACUGGCAGACUUGAGUGCAGAAGAGGAAAGUGGAAUUCCAUGUGUAGCGGUGAAAUGCGUAGAUAUAUGGAGGAACACCAGUGGCGAAGGCGACUUUCUGGUCUGUAACUGACACUGAGGCUCGAAAGCGUGGGGAGCAAAC
Molecule: ribosomal RNA, 250 nt
Filed under: uncultured bacterium
Lineage: Bacteria
Description: partial 16S ribosomal RNA
Rfam family: Bacterial small subunit ribosomal RNA
Source: RNAcentral